Molecule: ribosomal RNA, 491 nt
Filed under: uncultured bacterium
Lineage: Bacteria
Description: partial 16S ribosomal RNA
Rfam family: Bacterial small subunit ribosomal RNA
Source: RNAcentral
GUGAACGCUGGCGGUAGGCCUAACACAUGCAAGUCGAACGGCAGCACAGUAAGAGCUUGCUCUUACGGGUGGCGAGUGGCGGACGGGUGAGGAAUACAUCGGAAUCUACUUUUUCGUGGGGGAUCACGUAGGGAAACUUACGCUAAUACCGCAUACGACCUACGGGUGAAAGCAGGGGAUCUUCGGACCUUGCGCGAUUGAAUGAGCCGAUGUCGGAUUAGCUAGUUGACGGGGUAAAGGCCCACCAAGGCGACGAUCCGUAGCUGGUCUGAGAGGAUGAUCAGCCACACUGGAACUGAGACACGGUCCAGACUCCUACGGGAGGCAGCAGUGGGGAAUAUUGGACAAUGGGCGCAAGCCUGAUCCAGCCAUACCGCGUGGGUGAAGAAGGCCUUCGGGUUGUAAAGCCCUUUUGUUGGGAAAGAAAAGCAGCAGGUUAAUACCCCGCUGUUCUGACGGUACCCAAAGAAUAAGCACCGGCUAACUUCGUG